UUUCCGUAGGUGAACCUGCGGAAGGAUCAUUAAUAAAUGGUCUACGUUUUUUAAGUAGACGCUUAAUAAUCCUACCCUUUGUGAAUUUGUUUGUUGAAAUAAUUUUUUUUAAAAUUAUUGAAUGUCUUUCCUGUUGAAUUGGUUGUCUUUAAUGGCAAGUGAUUCGCAGGGGAGUGUCAAUAAUUUUUAAAAAGACCUUUUUAAAAUUAAACUUUUGUAUUCAUUUGUCUAAAAUUAUUUUUAUAAUAUAAAACAACUUUUGACAAUGGAUCUCUUGGUUCUCGCAACGAUGAAGAACGCAGCAAAAUGCGAUAAGUAGUGUGAAUUGCAGAAUACGUGAAUCAUCGAAUCUUCGAACGCAUAUUGCACUUUUUUAGUUUACUAAAAAAGUAUGUCUGUUUGAGUAUCGGUAAAAUAUUCUCAUAAAACUUUUUGUUUUUAUGGUUAUGAGUGUUUUACAACGAUACAAGUUGUUUCACUUUAAAUUUUUUUAAAAUUUGAAUUUUUCUAAUUUUAAAAUAAAAUUGGAUAAAAUUUUCCCGUAAAAAGGAAUAACCUAAACAAUUUUAAUUUUUGAUUAGAAAUCCAAACUAAAAGGAAAAUUUAACUAAAUAACUUGAUCUCAAAUCAGAUAAGAGUACCCGCUGAACUUAAGCAUAUCAAUAAGCGGAGGAAAAGAACUAACAAGGAUUCCCUUAGUAACGGCGAGUGAAGCGGGAAGAGCUCAAAUUUGAAAUCUUCAAGGUUUUACCUUGACGAAUUGUAGUUUAAAGAAGUGUUUUCUGUUGAAGUUUUGGUAAAAGUUCUUUGGAAUAGGACAUCAUAGAGGGUGAGAAUCCGUAUUUGACCAUUAUUUUCAGCUGUGUGAUACACUUUCAAAGGGUCGGAUUGUUUGGGAAUGCAGUCCAAAAUGGGUGGUAAAUUUCAUCUAAAGCUAAAUAUUGGCGAGAGACCGAUAGCGAACAAGUACCGUGAGGGAAAGAUGAAAAGAACUUUGAAAAGAGAGUUAAACAGUACGUGAAAUUGUCAAAAGGGAAGCGUUUGACACCAGUGUUGUUUUCUCGAAAAUCAAUUAAAAAGAGUUGGAUUUUGUGUUGUAUUGACCUUAACAGCUUGCUUCACUCUUUUCCAGCUUUUUUUAAUGCACUUUUCGUUUAACAAGUCAACAUCAGUUUCUUUUGUUGUAAAAGGGUCAUUGGAAGGUGGCUUUCUCUUCGGAGAAAGUGUUUAUAGCCUUUGAUCUCUGCAAUCGGAGAGACUGAGGUCUGCAGCGUAGAUCCUUCGGGGUUAGAUACAUUUAUGCUAAGCUACAGCUUUUCAUAGACAACUUGUUGACUAUGUUUAGUCUUGUGACUUACCCGCUUAUGCUAUUU
RNAcentral lists this unclassified non-coding RNA (1373 nucleotides) under uncultured Neocallimastigales. Its description in RNAcentral is "partial contains small subunit ribosomal RNA, internal transcribed spacer 1, 5.8S ribosomal RNA, internal transcribed spacer 2, and large subunit ribosomal RNA". The stretch from base 618 to 1373 matches the Rfam family "Eukaryotic large subunit ribosomal RNA", at positions 1 to 617 of the family's 3401-position model. Lineage: Eukaryota; Fungi; Neocallimastigomycota; Neocallimastigomycetes; Neocallimastigales. The record is from RNAcentral.